This 539-nucleotide ribosomal RNA is filed under the name uncultured bacterium. Its description in RNAcentral is "bacterial SSU rRNA". It matches the Rfam family "Bacterial small subunit ribosomal RNA", at positions 8 to 526 of the family's 1533-position model. The record is from RNAcentral.
AGAGUUUGAUCAUGGCUCAGAAUCAACGCUGGCGGCGUGCCUCAGACAUGCAAGUCGAACGCGAAAGUUCCCUUCGGGGGGCGAGUAGAGUGGCGCACGGGUGAGUAACACGUAGGUAAUCUACCUUCGGAUGGGGAAUAACAACCGGAAACGGUUGCUAAUACCGCAUAAUGCAGCGGCACCUAAUGGUGACAGUUGUUAAAGCGGGGGAUCGUAAGACCUCGCGUCUGGAGAGGAGCCUGCGGCGGAUUAGCUAGUUGGUAAGGUAACGGCUUACCAAGGCUAUGAUCCGUAGCCGGCCUGAGAGGGCGGUCGGCCACACUGACACUGACAUACGGGUCAGACUCCUACGGGAGGCAGCAGUCGGGAAUUUUGGGCAAUGGGCGAAAGCCUGACCCAGCAACGCCGCGUGAAGGAUGAAAUCCUUCGGGAUGUAAACUUCGCAAGAACGGGAAGAAUAAGCCGGUAUUAACACCACCGGUGAUGACGGUACUGUUUGUAAGCUCCGGCUAACUCCGUGCCAGCCGCCGCGGUAAUUC